Molecule: non-coding RNA, 194 nt
Organism: Hypsizygus marmoreus
Lineage: Eukaryota; Fungi; Basidiomycota; Agaricomycetes; Agaricales; Lyophyllaceae
Source: Rfam
UCAAUUGCCCAUGCCCACCUUUUGGCUUAGAUCAAGUGUAGUAUCUGUUCUUAAUAGUUUAACCACUAUUAUGGAGGCACCGCCUCCAUUCUUGGUUAUCUUAUUUUUGCCGCCCUUGUCCCCUGUGCUCUGCUUGCAACACGGGGGCGCGAUGACCUUGCUACUGCACUACUGGCUUGCGUUGUCGGGGGAUC